This 450-nucleotide ribosomal RNA is filed under the name uncultured bacterium. RNAcentral's name for it is "bacterial SSU rRNA". It matches the Rfam family "Bacterial small subunit ribosomal RNA", at positions 355 to 825 of the family's 1533-position model. The record is from RNAcentral.
UCGAGAAUAUUCGACAAUGGGCGAAAGCCUGAUCGAGCGACGCCGCGUGCAGGAUGAAGGCCCUCGGGUUGUAAACUGCGGUAGUAGGGGAGGAACGCAAGUGACUGUACCCUACGGAAAGUGGUUGGUAACUACGUGCCAGCACCAGCGGUAAUACGUAGACCACAAGCGUUAUCCGGAUUUAUUGGGCGUAAAGAGCAUGUAGGAGGUCCGGUGCGUCUCUGGUUAAAGCCCACCGCCUAACGGUGGAAGUGCCAGAGAUACGAUCGGACUGGAGGAUGUGAGAGGUGCAUGGAACUCACGGUGUAGGGGUGAAAUCCGUUGAUAUCGUGGGGAACACCAAAGGCGAAGGCAGUGCACUGGUACAUUCCUGACUCUGAGAUGCGAAAGCGUGGGGAGCAAACAGGAUUAGAUACCCAUGUAGUCCCUGAGCGGGCUGGCAAGGCGCAU